This is a long non-coding RNA of Felis catus (domestic cat), 1608 nucleotides long. RefSeq lists it as uncharacterized. Lineage: Eukaryota; Metazoa; Chordata; Mammalia; Carnivora; Felidae. The transcript has 3 exons. The record is from RefSeq and is a predicted model, not a curated record.
AGUGGCUGCAAGGAAGAAAGAGGCCUGUUACCUGGGGGGCCUGGCUGUCUGCCCCCACCAUCACCCCACCCCAGUCUCCGGUCCCUCCUCCUCCAAUCUGUUACCUUCCCCUCCUUAGAGGUGCCUGCCACCUGUCCAGUGGCAAUGGUGACCAUAUCAGGGUGGACAGCCAGGCUGAGAAAGGAGACAGAUGGACAGGGCUCAGUGGGAGGGAUGGGGCUCAAAGGGGGGCCCAGGACUCCUCCUCCCUUAACAGGCUGAAGUCACAAUGCCUGGCUAUUCAUCCCACAGGUUGGUUGAGUGAGUUAUUUAGCCAAUAAACAUCGAUUUAGUCCUUCUGUAACAAUAAGGGGCUACUCUCCAGGUACCCAGCCUCGGAAGCAAGACUCCAUCCUGGGGUCUCUUAACUCAAAUGCCCAUACGGCUCAGGACUGUACCCAAGUGGUGGCCAGGGGGGCACAGCCAUCAAAAGGGGCUGUCGCUGCCUGGCUCCCACCCUGUUAGGAUCAUCUGGUGCUCCAGCUAGGAGUUUCCGAAAAGAAGUGAAAAAUCCAGGCAUAUGUUUCCGGCUCUCUCGAAAAGACUCUGGGCUCCAACAUCCCUGCCUCCACUAGAGCGGAAAUCAAGGCCGAAAGAAGAGGACGGGGCCUGGGUCCCUAGGCUGCUGAUCUGGAGAAAGCGUGGGCCACGGAGGCAAGAGUUCUUGCCCCAGAACUGGUCUGACUCCCGAGGACAAGGCUCAGUCCUUUCUUUUGGACUCAGCUUUGUCAUCCAGACAGUGAAGGCAGCAAUUGCCAAGCUGUAGGCGUCAGAGGGCUCUAGGAGGCCACGGGUUGUACAAAUACACUCUCAAUGCUACAAAAGAGGAGGAUUGUUACCAUUCACCGUAUUUACACAUAAAACCAUUUAGAAUGGUGCCUGGCAUCUAAGUCCUCAAUAAUGAGCAGUUAUUCUUCGACCAGUUCCUGUUUAUGGGGCACACGUCAUGAGCUCAGCACCUUUAUACCUCCUUUCCUGGCACUAUGAAUCUGAAAUCCUGAAACCCAUUCUUCAGAGGACGCGUCUGAGGCACAGAGAGGUGAGGUGAUUUGUCCAGGAUCACACAGCCCAGCUGGGCUGGGGUUUCAAUCCAGGUUUGCCAGGCUCCAAAGACGGGGCCCCUAACCAUUUCCAACUUCUUCUGUUUCUCAGAUACACCUAGGUCGCUCCGGCCACAGAGCCCUUAUACCUGCCAUGCCCUCUGUCUGGAACAUUCUCCUUCUAGCUCUUCCUAUGCUGGCUCCCAACUGUUCAACUCACAGCUCAAAUGCCCCCUCCUCAGAGAAACACAGUGACUCUUCCCACAUGACUUUAGGUUCCUGUGUUCCCAGCAUUUAUUACUUAGCUGGAAUCACCGUGUUUAUUUAAUCACAGGCUUCUGUUAUCAUCUCUCUCUCUUUUCCUUUAAAAGGUGAGCCCCAAGUGACCAGGGCGGGACUGUAGAGGAGAGUCUGACAUAUGGAAGGCACUCAGCAAACAUCUGCUACUUUAGUGCAUCGUAAAAAGGCUUCACUCAACAACAACAACACCAAAAAUGCAUGGAGGGGCACCAGGGUGGCUCAGUCCGUU